AACUAACCCUAGCCUGACUCCACCCAACUUCACAACAAAUAUAUUCCCUUUAAUCAAAACAUUUACCAUAUCAAUAAUAGUAUAGGAGAUAGAAAUUAUAUUCAGCGCUAUAGAGAGCAGUACCGCAAAGGGAAAAAUGAAAGAACCAAACCUAAAGUAUAAAAAAGCAAAGCUAAACUCUUGUACCUUUUGCAUAAUGACUUAACUAGAACAAUUUGACAAGAAGAACUUAAGUCAAGGAACCCGAAACCAGACGAGCUACUCAUAAACAGCUAUUAAGAGCACACUCAUCUAUGUGGCAAAAUAGUGAGAAGAUUUAUAAGUAGAGGUGAAAGGCCUAUCGAGCCUGGUGAUAGCUGGUUAUCCAGAAAAGAAUUUUAGUUCAACUUUAAAUUAACCUAAAGUGAUCUAUUAAACCUCAUGUUAAUUUAAAUGUUAUUCUAAAGAGGGACAGCUCUUUAGACCAGGCUACAACCUUUAGUAUAGAGUAAACAAUACCAAUACCAUAGUUGGCCUAAAAGCAGCCACCAAUUAAGAAAGCGUUCAAGCUCAACAUAUAAUAAUUACUUAAUUCAACUAAUAUAUAUAUAGACCUCUUACUAACCAACUGGAUUAAUCUAUUAUUUUAUAGAAGCAACACUGUUAAUAUGAGUAACAAGAAUUUUAAUUCUCCUAGCAUAAGCUUAUACCAGACCGGAUGCCCACUGGUAAUUAACAACCAGAUAAAGAUACACAUUCUACAAGCCCUUUAUCCUAAAUAACUGUUAACCCAACACAGGCAUGCAUUAAGGAAAGAUCUAAAAAAGUAAAAGGAACUUGGCAAAACUAAACCCCGCCUGUUUACCAAAAACAUCACCUCCAGUCUAUUAAAUAUUGGAGGCACCGCCUGCCCAGUGACACAUGUUCAACGGCCGCGGUAUCCUGACCGUGCAAAGGUAGCAUAAUCACUUGUUCUUUAAUUAAGGACUUGAAUGAAUGGCUACACGAGGGUUCAACUGUCUCUUACUUUUAAUCAGUGAAAUUGACCUUCCCGUGAAGAGGCGGGAAUAAAUCAAUAAGACGAGAAGACCCUAUGGAGCUUAAAUAAUAUAAUCCAAAUAAAUAUAAUUAAAUCUAACAAAGACAUAAAAUAAUAAUUAUAUAUGGGUUAGAAAUUUCGGUUGGGGUGACCUCGGAGCAUAACAUAACCUCCGAACAAUUUUAACUUAGACCUAACCAGUCAAAGUAUAUAAAUAGUACAUUAAUUGACCCAAACUAAUUUGAUCAAUGGAACAAGUUACCCUAGGGAUAACAGCGCAAUCCUAUUAUAGAGUCCAUAUCGACGAUAGGGUUUACGACCUCGAUGUUGGAUCAAGACACCCUAAUGGUGCAGCCGCUAUUAACGGUCCGUUUGUUCAACGGUUAAAGUCUUACGUGAUCUGAGUUCAGACCGGAGUAAUCCAGGUCGGUUUCUAUCUAUUUAAUUUUUCUCCUAGUACGAAAGGACAAGAGAAUAAAGGACCAACUCAAAUUUAGUGCCCUAAACAUAAUAGAUGUAACAAACUCAAUCUAAUAUGCUAAUUAAUAUAUUACCCAAGAUAAGGGUUG
This 1587-nucleotide ribosomal RNA is filed under the name Microcebus berthae (Berthe's mouse lemur). RNAcentral's name for it is "16S ribosomal RNA". The stretch from base 82 to 1477 matches the Rfam family "Bacterial large subunit ribosomal RNA". The record is from RNAcentral. Lineage: Eukaryota; Metazoa; Chordata; Mammalia; Primates; Cheirogaleidae.